Molecule: long non-coding RNA, 570 nt
Organism: Aedes albopictus (Asian tiger mosquito)
Lineage: Eukaryota; Metazoa; Arthropoda; Insecta; Diptera; Culicidae
Exons: 2
Source: RefSeq, a predicted model, not a curated record
GAACAUAAUAAAAGUGAUGGGAUUAGGGUAAAUUUGAAACAAGUAGUUUUUUAAAAACCCUAAUGUGAAGUCCCGUCCAUUUUUGGCGCAGUCGUACGGAACACUCUACGUGCAGUGCUAGUUUUUGGAAGACAAUCUAGUGACAAAACCCGAUCCGUGGUAAUUGGACAGUAGUGCGAAAACCGAAAAUUAGUGUCGAAUUGACGACAUCGGACGUGCCGGUAACCAAGGACUAAAAGUGUAACUGACUUGCGCAGGAUUCAGCAUUAAGUAGACGCUUAGCCCAACCCGUGGCGAAGCAAGAAACUAGUGACUAUCUCCAGUGAUCAUCAGGAACCAGGCUCUUGGAAACCAUCCCUCAACCCGUAGGUGAUUUGCGCCGCCCGACACGAAAACUGCAUCGGUGGGUUUCAACCCUUUAAGAGUGUCGAACCCUCGAAGAUGACACACAAACACCCGAUACUUUUUUGUCUUACAAUUAUGAUGUUUUUCAAUCCUAUUUACUCUGCUUACUUGGAAAUCCUUGAACUUAAUGAAAAUCCCGGUAUAGUUGCGUUCAAGACUAAUUCA